RNAcentral lists this ribosomal RNA (491 nucleotides) under uncultured bacterium. RNAcentral's name for it is "partial 16S ribosomal RNA". It matches the Rfam family "Bacterial small subunit ribosomal RNA", at positions 29 to 507 of the family's 1533-position model. The record is from RNAcentral.
AUGAACGCUAGCUACAGGCUUAACACAUGCAAGUCGAGGGGAAACGACAUCGAAAGCUUGCUUUUGAUGGGCGUCGACCGGCGCACGGGUGAGUAACGCGUAUCCAACCUGCCCAUCACUUGGGAAUAACCUUGCGAAAGUAAGACUAAUACCCAAUGAUAUCCCACGAAGGCAUCGGAAUGGGAUUAAAGAUUUAUCGGUGAUGGAUGGGGAUGCGUCUGAUUAGCUUGUUGGCGGGGUAACGGCCCACCAAGGCAACGAUCAGUAGGGGUUCUGAGAGGAAGGUCCCCCACAUUGGAACUGAGACACGGUCCAAACUCCUACGGGAGGCAGCAGUGAGGAAUAUUGGUCAAUGGGCGAGAGCCUGAACCAGCCAAGUAGCGUGCAGGAAGACGGCCCUAUGGGUUGUAAACUGCCUUUAUAAGGGAAUAAAGUGGGUCACGUGUGACUUUUUGCAUGUACCUUAUGAAUAAGGACCGGCUAAUUCCGUG